This 427-nucleotide ribosomal RNA is filed under the name uncultured bacterium. RNAcentral describes it as "partial 16S ribosomal RNA". It matches the Rfam family "Bacterial small subunit ribosomal RNA", at positions 355 to 774 of the family's 1533-position model. The record is from RNAcentral.
UGGGGAAUAUUGCACAAUGGGCGCAAGCCUGAUGCAGCCAUGCCGCGUGUAUGAAGAAGGCCUUCGGGUUGUAAAGUACUUUCAGCGGGGAGGAAGGCGAUAAGGUUAAUAACCUUGUCGAUUGACGUUACCCGCAGAAGAAGCACCGGCUAACUCCGUGCCAGCAGCCGCGGGAAUACGGAGGGGGCAAGCGUUAAUCGGAAUUACUGGGCGUAAAGCGCACGCAGGCGGUCUGUCAAGUCGGAUGUGAAAUCCCCGGGCUCAACCUGGGAACUGCAUUCGAAACUGGCAGGCUAGAGUCUUGUAGAGGGGGGUAGAAUUCCAGGUGUAGCGGUGAAAUGCGUAGAGAUCUGGAGGAAUACCGGUGGCGAAGGCGGCCCCCUGGACAAAGACUGACGCUCAGGUGCGAAAGCGUGGGGAGCAAACA